CUAGACUCUGAGGAGUUGGUAUGUCCAUCUCCUCCAUCAGAGUAUGUUUCUUGAGGGGCGGGGCAAAUCUUCCACGGCUCUGAAUCUCCUCAGCACCCCCCACACUAGCCAUGGUAAUAGUACUGCUAGUACUGGUUGCAGAAAGGGACACAGUUCCAGCUACAUGCCAGGCACUAUUCUAAGCACUUUGAAUAUUUCAGUCCAUUUACAUCUCACAACAGCCCUAUGAGGCGCUUUCCUUGACUCUUCAGUGCUCCGUUGUGGUCUUUAUGUGAGGCCUUACCAAAGAACCAAGGCUCCUUGAAGAAAUGGCUGAUUCCUGAGCUAGGGCAGAGAAAGUGGUAGAUGAGUCCAGAAGACCUCUUUGUGACAGAAAGUGCUCAAAGAAUGACAUAAUGAUGGACACGAGAACCAGCCUGGAGGAGCUCUCACUGUAAAAAUCCAGAACAAAUUGGGUAGACAUAAAGAUAGAUAUCUCCAUAGUAACAGACUAUAACUCACUGAUUGGAAUAAAACCCUUGAGUCCAUAUUAAUAUAACUUUAUAAAAAAUAUAUAGGAAGAAGAGAAACUCUUCCUUAUACCAGAAAACUGACAAAUAUAAAAGGAAUGGUGAAAUUAGAAAAUUACUACCUGAUAACACUUGAUUCAGGCAAGAAUCAUCAGUGACGCGAAAACUAGUGAGUGAUAGAUACUUAUUAACUAUAAAGGGAAAAACAAUAACUUUACACUGGUGAAAUCCAGCCGACAUCUCCUUAAACAGGUGAUUAAAGUUAAUUUCACCAGCAGUGGGAUAAAUAGACACCAAGUGCCUCCUGAUAUGAUGCACGGAGAAGAACAUGCCUCAUUUCUGUGAUGUUCCUGCCAGGAGCACAUAAACCAGGAGGAAGCAUCAGAGAAACCCAAACUGAGGGACAGUCUGCAAAAUACCUGUCCCGUACUCUGGAAAAAAUGUCAGCAUCAUGAAGGCAAAGAAAGACUGAGAAACCGCUUCAGAUUAAAAGAGACUAAAGAGACAUGACAACUAAAUGCGGCACAUGAGCUGGGAUUUUCUGCUCUAAGGGACAUUAUUGGCACAAUUGGUGAAAUCUGAAUAAGUGGCGUUUCAGGAAAGACCGGAUGUGUCCAACCUGUUGUCAACCUGUCAAGUGGAAGUCCUUUGCUAUGUUUCCUGAUCUUUCUACAACUACCACACAUUUCUUGUGCAAUUUUAAAAUAUAUUUAAGCACAUGAAAGAGUUAGAUAUUGUGAAACCGUAUAAAGCAAUUUAAGGAUAGGCUGUCGGUCAGGUUUCUGACGGGAGGAAUAACUAAGCUCUGAGAAG
RNAcentral lists this long non-coding RNA (1322 nucleotides) under Equus caballus (horse). RNAcentral describes it as "lncRNA (ENSECAG00000055984.1)". Lineage: Eukaryota; Metazoa; Chordata; Mammalia; Perissodactyla; Equidae. The record is from RNAcentral.